RNAcentral lists this long non-coding RNA (375 nucleotides) under Citrus maxima (pomelo). RNAcentral's name for it is "long non-coding RNA (CMAX_LNC001026)". The record is from RNAcentral. Lineage: Eukaryota; Viridiplantae; Streptophyta; Magnoliopsida; Sapindales; Rutaceae.
CAGAUUCAGGAUCCUGGUUCAGGGUAUGUAUUUCAAUCCCAACUUGAUCAACAACAACAGCAGCAACCACAACAGCAGCAACAACUACAGCAGCAGCAACUACCACAGCAGCAACAAUUUGUUCAUGCUGGUGGACAUUAUAUUCAUCAUCACCCUGCAGGAGCAAUGCCAAUUUCAGCUUAUUAUCCUGUGUAUCCAUCACAACAGCAACCUCAAGUCCACCAUCAUCAACAUCAACACCAAGUCCAUCAGCUUGAUCAGCAGUACCCAGUUUACUAUGUGCCCGCGGGAAGACAGCCCCAAGCUUACAAUUUGUCUAUGCAACAACAAUCUCAUUCUGUCAGUGAAUCGCCCACAGCCAUCACCUCUAGCCGU